UAUAUAUUACAUUGUUAGUUUGUUCUAAAUUUGGUAACCGAAAUCCAAAUUUGAAUCCUACUUGAUUUACAUUUCUAGCUAAGUUUAUUUCUAAAUAAAAUAAACGAAGCGGAUAGCGUGCUAUUUAUCUUUCAUAAAAAAAAAAAAGUUUGUUCUAAAUAUUUUUUUCUUAAGAAGUGUCAAUUAUUUUCCGUUGACUUUACUUACUAUAUAAGUAGUUGAAAGUGGAACAUUCUGAUUUCAGUCUAUUGAAUUUAUUUACGAAAUAUUUGAAAAUUUUGUUUGUGAAAAUUUCUUCAAAGUAGAAAGGUGUUGAACUGAGAAUCAACA
RNAcentral lists this long non-coding RNA (330 nucleotides) under Ananas comosus (pineapple). RNAcentral's name for it is "long non-coding RNA (ACOM_LNC025239)". Lineage: Eukaryota; Viridiplantae; Streptophyta; Magnoliopsida; Poales; Bromeliaceae. The record is from RNAcentral.